UACGUAGGGCGCAAGCGUUGUCCGGAAUUAUUGGGCGUAAAGAGCUCGUAGGCGGUCUGUCGCGUCGGAUGUGAAAGCCCGGGGCUUAACCCCGGGUCUGCAUUCGAUACGGGCAGACUAGAGAGUGGUAGGGGAGAUCGGAAUUCCUGGUGUAGCGGUGAAAUGCGCAGAUAUCAGGAGGAACACCGGUGGCGAAGGCGGAUCUCUGGGCCAUUACUGACGCUGAGGAGCGAAAGCGUGGGAGCGAACAGG
This 252-nucleotide ribosomal RNA is filed under the name uncultured bacterium. RNAcentral describes it as "partial 16S ribosomal RNA". It matches the Rfam family "Bacterial small subunit ribosomal RNA", at positions 524 to 776 of the family's 1533-position model. The record is from RNAcentral.